GGAGGCAUCGCCUAGCCUGGUCUAUGGCGCGGGAUUGCUAAUCCCGUUGGGGGUAUACACCCCCUCGAGGGUUCGAAUCCCUCUGCCUCCG
This 91-nucleotide transfer RNA is filed under the name Actinomycetota bacterium. RNAcentral's name for it is "Actinobacteria bacterium tRNA-Ser". It matches the Rfam family "tRNA". Rfam says of the family: Transfer RNA (tRNA) molecules are approximately 80 nucleotides in length. Their secondary structure includes four short double-helical elements and three loops (D, anti-codon, and T loops). The record is from RNAcentral. Lineage: Bacteria; Bacillati; Actinomycetota.